UACGUAGGGUGCGAGCGUUAAUCGGAAUUACUGGGCGUAAAGCGUGCGCAGGCGGUUCGUUGUGUCGGCGGGGAAAGCCCCGGGCUUAACCUGGGAAUGGCCGUCGAAACUGGCGAACUGGAGUGUGGCAGAGGGGGGUGGAAUUCCGCGUGUAGCAGUGAAAUGCGUAGAGAUGCGGAGGAACACCGAUGGCGAAGGCAGCCCCCUGGGCUAACACUGACGCUCAGGCACGAAAGCGUGGGGAGCAAACAGG
RNAcentral lists this ribosomal RNA (253 nucleotides) under uncultured bacterium. RNAcentral describes it as "partial 16S ribosomal RNA". It matches the Rfam family "Bacterial small subunit ribosomal RNA", at positions 524 to 776 of the family's 1533-position model. The record is from RNAcentral.